Molecule: ribosomal RNA, 474 nt
Filed under: Triticum aestivum (bread wheat)
Lineage: Eukaryota; Viridiplantae; Streptophyta; Magnoliopsida; Poales; Poaceae
Description: partial small subunit ribosomal RNA
Source: RNAcentral
AUGGCAAAUGUAGUUUAUGGAACAUGGCAAUUUUAUUAUAUGAACCAUGGCAAAUGGCUUCUCUUUUUUUUUGCAACAUGGCAUUUUUCUUUCGAACGGGACCAAGGAAAAUUUAGUGCAUGCAUCAUGGGAAUUAUAGUUUAUGGAUCAUGGCAUUUUUUAUUCUAUGCAUCAUACAAAUUUUCUGUUUUUGAACGGGACCAUGGCAAAUUUUCUUUCAUGGCAAUGGUAGUUCAUGGAGCAUGGCAAAUUUUUGUCCUUUGUAACAUGGCAAUUUUUUUUGAAUGGGACCAUGGCAAACUUAGUGUAUGUAUCAUGGCAAAUGUAGUUAAUGGGGCAUGGAAAUUUUAUUAUUAUAUAGAUCAUGGAAAAUUUUCUUUCUUUUUGCAACAUGGCAAAUUUUAUUUUUUUCAACGGGACCAUGGCAAUCUCAGUGCACCUUUCAUGGCAACGGUAGUUUAUGGAGCAUGGUAA